Molecule: ribosomal RNA, 489 nt
Filed under: Triticum aestivum (bread wheat)
Lineage: Eukaryota; Viridiplantae; Streptophyta; Magnoliopsida; Poales; Poaceae
Description: partial small subunit ribosomal RNA
Source: RNAcentral
AUGCCCGCAAGUUAUGAUUUCGCCCCCUUUUUUUGUUGGUGUUUUUUACAUAAAUGUAUACAUGUGGAUAGCUUAGUUUUCUCCUACAUAUUUUGUAGUUUCAAUGAUGACACCUAUAUGUCAACUAUGGGUGUUGGCUCCAACAAUUCUCAUUGGUCUCAAACCAAUGUAGUGCAUGAAGAUGAUCAUGAGUUUGAGGUGGACGAGGAUGGUGAGGAUAUCGUCGAUGCACCGAAAGGAAGAGCGGGCAACUACACCAUGCACGAAGAAAUCUUGCUAUGCAAUACAUGGUUGCAUGUGUCUAUGGAUGCAAACAUUGGAGGGGACCAAAGUAGAGAUACAUAUUGGGUCCGGAUGAAGGAGCACUUUGAUAUACACAACAAGAGUGGAAUUUACCGCACCGAUAAAUCUCUUCGCUCCCAGUGGUCAACAAUCAACAAAGAUUGCCAAAGGUGUGGGCGACGACACUUAAGGCGGUUGACACGAUAA